UACGUAGGUGGCAAGCGUUGUCCGGAAUUACUGGGCGUAAAGGGCGUGUAGGUGGUCUAACAAGUCAGGUGUGAAAUUCCAGGGCUUAACCUUGGGCAUGCAUUAGAAACUGUUAGACUUGAGGGCAAGAGAGGAAAGUGGAAUUCCUAGUGUAGCGGUGAAAUGCGUAGAUAUUAGGAGGAACACCAGUGGCGAAGGCGACUUUCUGGAUUGACCCUGACACUGAGGCGCGAAAGCGUGGGGAG
RNAcentral lists this ribosomal RNA (245 nucleotides) under uncultured Desulfitibacter sp. RNAcentral describes it as "partial 16S ribosomal RNA". It matches the Rfam family "Bacterial small subunit ribosomal RNA", at positions 524 to 768 of the family's 1533-position model. The record is from RNAcentral. Lineage: Bacteria; Bacillati; Bacillota; Clostridia; Neomoorellales; Desulfitibacteraceae.